RNAcentral lists this ribosomal RNA (402 nucleotides) under uncultured Streptococcus sp. RNAcentral's name for it is "bacterial SSU rRNA". It matches the Rfam family "Bacterial small subunit ribosomal RNA", at positions 338 to 732 of the family's 1533-position model. Lineage: Bacteria; Bacillati; Bacillota; Bacilli; Lactobacillales; Streptococcaceae. The record is from RNAcentral.
CCUACGGGUGGCAGCAGUAGGGAAUCUUCGGCAAUGGGGGCAACCCUGACCGAGCAACGCCGCGUGAGUGAAGAAGGUUUUCGGAUCGUAAAGCUCUGUUGUAAGAGAAGAACGAGUGUGAGAGUGGAAAGUUCACACUGUGACGGUAACUUACCAGAAAGGGACGGCUAACUACGUGCCAGCAGCCGCGGUAAUACGUAGGUCCCGAGCGUUGUCCGGAUUUAUUGGGCGUAAAGCGAGCGCAGGCGGUUAGAUAAGUCUGAAGUUAAAGGCUGUGGCUUAACCAUAGUACGCUUUGGAAACUGUUUAACUUGAGUGCAAGAGGGGAGAGUGGAAUUCCAUGUGUAGCGGUGAAAUGCGUAGAUAUUAGGAAGAACACCAGUGGCGAAGGCGACUUUCUGG